GAAACACCUCUGUUCGACUAAUCACUUUACACCACAAUGGACACUCUUUUACGGGUAUUUAGGAAUUAGAAACUAUCAAUAUUGUAGGCAAAAAAAGCCUGUAAAGUUAUAUAACUUUACCUUGUGAAGCGGCUAACGUUUUAGCUAAAUAUAGCCUGUUGAACACGACAUGGAGCAACAUUAGCAGACAUUUUGGAGUCGUAUGUUUGGCCACCUGCUGAAUAGGGCAGAGGAGAGGAGGGAGGAGAAAACUGCUUCAGUGCACUAAUGUCCCUGAAACCUGAACCCUUAUUGGAUCUGAAGGGCAUUACACGACAGGCAUCCUCUGUCCACACCCUCUGUUAAAGGUGAGGAUUAAAGGGAUUGCUUUCAUUCAGGGAAGGAGAAGCGAAAAAGCCUCGGAGCAGAGCCCACUCCAGCUCAGCCCUUCUCCCUGUGUGCCUGUCCCCUCGUCUCCGCUGCCGGGCUGAUUGACCAACCCCUCCGACAGACCGGCUGCCGGCUCGCCCCGGACGGCUCCCUCGUACCCGUGCCUGUUACCGCGCUGUAGCCAAGCACUGCUAGCUGCCUCGUGGCCUCUGACGUUUGCGUGGAAAAGAGAGGAUGUGCUCAACCUUCCUGUUCUACACCUGUGUUCACGCUCUGGGGUCUUGACCCUCCUAAAAAAAAGAAACACUCGAGGGAUUGAUCCAAGUAUUGGAUCGCACAUAAAGCUGCAGUUACUGGAUAUUACCCUGCCGCUAUCGGCCUGCAGUGAUGGCCUGGAUAAGAAGUGCUUACCAAAGAGGAUGCUCCUUCAGGGCAGAUACGGUUUCCCAGCCCUCUGGGAACAACAACCACAUGCCUGCUGCUUGCUCAGGAACUUUCUACCUCAUCGAGUAAAUCCAGGGGCCUUAUCAAGUUACUGGCCUACUGAACUGCUCAAAAAAGAUGUUUAAACCACCUCAGAUUUUGAGCUGUGUCGGGGCAUCGCAGUCAUUAAAUGG
Long non-coding RNA from Sebastes umbrosus (honeycomb rockfish), 986 nucleotides. RefSeq lists it as uncharacterized. Lineage: Eukaryota; Metazoa; Chordata; Actinopteri; Perciformes; Sebastidae. The transcript is spliced from 4 exons. The record is from RefSeq and is a predicted model, not a curated record.